Molecule: ribosomal RNA, 198 nt
Filed under: uncultured bacterium
Lineage: Bacteria
Description: partial 16S ribosomal RNA
Rfam family: Bacterial small subunit ribosomal RNA
Source: RNAcentral
CGGAUUGGAGCUGCAACCCGACUCCAUGAAGCUGGAUUCGCUAGUAAUCGCGCAUCAGCCAUGGCGCGGUGAAUACGUUCCCGGGCCUUGUACACACCGCCCGUCAAGCCAUGGGAGCCGGGAGUGCCUGAAGUGCGUGACCGCAAGGAGCGCCCUAAGGCAAGACCGGUGACUGGGGCUAAGUCGUAACAAGGUAAC